This 468-nucleotide ribosomal RNA is filed under the name uncultured bacterium. RNAcentral describes it as "partial 16S ribosomal RNA". It matches the Rfam family "Bacterial small subunit ribosomal RNA", at positions 28 to 507 of the family's 1533-position model. The record is from RNAcentral.
GACGAACGCUGGCGGCGUGCUUAACACAUGCAAGUCGAACGGAAAGGCCCUGCUUUUGUGGGGUGCUCGAGUGGCGAACGGGUGAGUAACACGUGAGUAACCUGCCCUUGACUUUGGGAUAACUUCAGGAAACUGGGGCUAAUACCGGAUAGGAGCUCCUGCUGCAUGGUGGGGGUUGGAAAGUUUCGGCGGUUGGGGAUGGACUCGCGGCUUAUCAGCUUGUUGGUGGGGUAGUGGCUUACCAAAGCUUUGACGGGUAGCCGGCCUGGGAGGGUGACCGGCCACAUUGGGACUGAGAAACGGCCCAGACUCCUACGGGAGGAAGCAGUGGGGAAUAUUGCACAAUGGGCGGAAGCCUGAUGCAGCAACGCCGCGUGCGGGAUGACGGCCUUCGGGUUGUAAACCGCUUUCGCCUGUGACGAAGCGUGAGUGACGGUAAUGGGUAAAGAAGCACCGGCUAACUACGUG